Long non-coding RNA from Oreochromis niloticus (Nile tilapia), 4330 nucleotides. RefSeq lists it as uncharacterized. Lineage: Eukaryota; Metazoa; Chordata; Actinopteri; Cichliformes; Cichlidae. The record is from RefSeq and is a predicted model, not a curated record. The transcript has 3 exons.
AAAUAGGAGGACACUGAGCCACUUGCACUCACUGGCCACUUUUUUAGCCAGACCUUGCUAGUAUUAGGCUGGACACCCUUUUGCCUUCAGAGCUUCCUUAAAUUGUCAUACCAUAGAUUCAAUAAGGUACUGGAAAAAUUCCUAAGAGAUUUUGGUCCACAUUGACAUGACAGCAUCACACAGGUACUGCAGACUCAUCGGCUGCACAUCGAGGAUGGGAAUCUCCAAUCCCGCUACAUCGAAAAUAAGCUCUGUUUGAUUGAGACUGUGGGCCAAUUUGAGUACAGGGAACUCAUUGUCAUGUUCAAGAAAUCAGCUUGAGAUGAUUUCAGCUUCGUGACACAGUGCGUUAUCCUGCUGGAAGCAGCCGUCAGAACACAGGUGCACAUGGACAGCAGCAAUACUCAGGUAGGCUGUGGUGGUUAAAUCAUGCCAAGUUGGUACUAAUAAGUCCAAAGUAUGCCAAGAAAAUGUCCCCACCCCAUUACAUCACCAGCAGCAGGCUGAGCUGUGGCAACAUAGUCAAGAGUCAUGAGACUAGGCAAUGAGUUCACAAUCUUCUAUUGUCCAAUUUUGAUGAGCUGACAGGAGUGGCACCCGAUGUGGUCUUCUGCUUCUGCAACCCACCUGCUUCAAGGUUCAAAAUGUUAUAUAUUCAGAGAUGCUCUUCUCAAAACCUGGGUUAUAACAACUGGCUAUUUGAGCCACUGUAACAUUCUGGAGCAUUGUAACGCUCGGUGUGAACUUCAGCAAAUCAUCUUGACCAUGCCUGCAUACCGCACAGCACUGACUUGUCAUGAGAUUGGCUAAAUAAGAUAGUUGCACUAACAACAUUACAGUUUGGUACGGAAGCUACUCUGCCAGAAGCCAUAAAUCACUACAGAGGGUGGUGAAAGCAGCAGACCACAUCACUGGCAUGAGGCUUCCUACCACUAAGGACAUUUAUCUUCAACGAUGCCUCAGAAAAGCACACAGCAUCAUCAGGGACCACAGCCACCCAGCACGUCAGCUGUUCUCCUUGUUACCAUCUGGCAGCUGUUACAGGAGUCUGUAUGCUCGGACAACAACACUCAAAAAUAGUUUUUACCAUCAAGCCAUUCAACACCUCAACUACAACACUUUAACACGCACACACUUCACAGGAUGCACACAGAAGCGGUCCUACAGUUUCACAAGCACAUACUACACUCUGCACUGGCCACUCCAUUUUUAUUAGUAAUUAAAUAAAAAUAAAAACCCUUACUCCGUGCAACACUGUACUAACUGCCACUCUAAAAUCUUGUACUGCUCAGUUUGUACUGCUGCUCACUCCUGCCACCACCCCCCCGGGUCCAAUAUCCUAUUUGCGGAUUGACUUUUCUUCUGCUCGUCAAACACAUUUCAUUGCAAUGUUGACCCUGUGCUAACUGUGGCAGAUAAAAAAUAAAUAAAUAAAACUGAACAUGACUGUCUGGAACAGAAAACGCAUUGUGUAGUACUAUUAGAUGUACUUGUAUGACCUGUGUGUGUAAAUGAUUCAAAGUGGUCCUCGGACACUUCGAUUUUUUAUUCUAGCAGCUGCAGCGCCCCUAGUGUUUGAGAGUCGCCUAAAGAUUUAAUAUACACAUUUAAUUCAACGGCACAUGGAAAGCUGUUACAAGGGCCACAAGUAUAACAAUAUGAUUGAAAAAAAAACAAAAAACAAAAACAGGGCACCCUUUGAGGCUAACAGAACAUAUCAAUUGUUCUUGCAGCCAUACUUUAAAAAAAGUAUCCUUGAAUCUAUUUUUGCUGUUGGUGGCCAUCAAAGACAGACAAUGACUUCACACCAUUAAAAAAAAAAAAAAAAAGCCUUAGACAGUUCAACUAUCUGCACACACGGAGCUCCAGGGCUCUAAUAGAUAUUGGUCAGCAGGCGGUGAGUUCAUACACGUUUUUCUCAGAAAAUAACCUGCUCCGGAGCAAAUUACCUUCUAACGUUUAAAUCUGAGUGCAAAACACUUCUUUAGGCUACGUCUACUCUAAGUUUCAUUUUCGUCAAAAAACGCUCCGCGUCCACACUAUCGUUUUCCAACAUUUCCGAAGAGUUGUUCAUCCACACUGAAACGACUGAAAACGCUUACGUUCCUGUACUGCGCAUGCGUGAAAUGUAAGAUGAUUCGAUCUGCGUCAUUUCUGUCUGCCGUUUAUUUCCAAUGCUUUGAAACAUCGUGGCAUAAUGUCGAGGAAAAGCACAGAGCUUUUUUUAAAUGAGAGGUGGAGUUGUUGCUGCGAGUAACACAAGAGUACAAAGUUGCAAAAGCGAGGGAGAAUCGAAGAAUAGCCAUCUGGAAAAAGUACAAACUGAUGUUAAUCUUUAAUAGGGCUGCCAAAAUUGAAGCAAAUGAAACAAUUGCUGUACAAUGCCGUCCACCAUCUUAGUUGAAUUGGUCACAUGACUGCAUCAUAAUUAAAAAUGCGUCAUCGCUUUCAAAAGCCUUUGUUUUUUCAGUCCACACUGCGAUGAAAAAAAACAAAACAAAACAGUGUUUUCAAAUUUAUCCACUUUGGAGAGCGUUUUCAAAAAGCUCUGUUUUCAUUAACCAAAAACACCAUCUCAGUGCGGACGGAAGGCCAAAACCGAGAGAAAGAGAUGUGUUUUCAAACAAAAACGUAUUAGUGUUGACAUGGCCUUAAUCUAGCCUCCAAGUGUCCAGACCUGCGUCAGCCACUCAUUUGUAGUUCAGGUAGUAUUUGUAUUCAAGUGGAUUAUUUAUACUUCACUGCUGUUGCUACAAAAAAGAAACAGGUGUGUUGGAUACACAUCUGUACCAUGAACUAGUGAUGGGUCGGUUGUGAACGAAGCGGCUCUUAGGGACGGCUCUUUGAAGUGAACGACAGGAGCCGGCUCCUUGUUGGGAGUAGUGGGAGGUGUUCUCCCUCUUUCUCUCACCCUCUCUCUCGCCGCAUGUGAGCCUUGUGUUACGCUGAGCAGAGGGGGGGGGUAGGGUGCAAAAAACCUUGUGUUUGUGCUGAGCAAAGGGGGAAGGGGCUGAGGGAAGAAGAGGAGGUUACACUUGCAGCAGCAGUUACACAUGAACAGAGCAGGAAGGUGAGAGAGAAAGUGAGCAGGGGACAACAACAAGAGACAAAAUCAACACAGUCAUCUCUACCCUGGCAGUUAAAAUGCACCGGUUGACCCUCUGAGCCAAGAGGAAUGGGAGGUACUACAGGAGAACUGUCCAGUUCCGCAGAAUGGAAUAUAACACCGUUUUCUCUGAAACCACCACUCUUGAUCCAAGAUUCAAGAAGCUGGUCUUUUAACAGAGCGGUGGAUGAAGCUCUUAAGAGAAUAACUGCAGCAGAAAGAUCCAGCCAACCAACUCCACUGCCAGGGGACCAAGAUUGAGAAGAGCCAGAAGAGGGUGAACAAAAGGAGCAACAAGCAUCUGCUGUUUGGAGGUUCUUUGAGCAAGUAGAGACACUAUCAGAAGGAAUCCCUCACCAGAUGUAGUACUGGAAGUGAGAUACUACAUUGACGAGCCCCUUUGCCAGAGAAGUGCAGACCCACUGAGCUGAAACUGCCAUGUACCCCCUCCUCCUAACCUCACAGACAAACUCCCAUCCUGUCACAUCUCUACUCUUAAGCACGCAUCCUUAUGUGCUGUCGCAAAAUCAAUCAAAAUGCAGAGCAGUGAAACAAACCACGGAGGCCCCAGAAGACUGCAAUCAAACGUAUAUAUCACCUGGACAGUCGCACCAGUGAAGCUUAAGACCCUUUUGGAUGGAACAUCAACUCCAAAUAAGCACAAAUAUGCAAAGUGUAUAGAAUGAUCAUAACUAAACCUGUAAAUAGAAAAGGUCAAUGUGAUGACAAACAUCUUCAAUACAAUAUGAACCCUGUAAGAAAUAUUACUAAUAGAAUAAUGCUGUAAAAUAUGUUAUUAAUGCAAUUAUAAUAAUGCAGGUUAUAUGGCAGCAAUAAAAGAAUUUCUGUAUCUCCACAGUGCCUAUUAUUCUACUCUAUGUGAGAACAAAGUAAUGGUGCUCGAUCUAAUACUUUAUCUGACUCCUACAUGCUUCCCUUUACAUUGUUUGUUUGUGUGUGUGUGUGUGUGUGUGUGUGUGUGUGUGUGUGUGAAUCUCCACAUAAACAAAAUGAAGAGUAAGUUGUCAUGAGAGUGAGUCAUGCUGAGAGUCACUGCUCACCUAAUGCGGAGUUUUUAAUGGUCGAAUGCAGACCGUAUUAUCUCCCCAGAGAACUCACUUCUAUCAUACUCACUGCAGUGUAUAUCCCCCCUGAUGCUAAUGCUAGGUUGGCCAUGAAAGAACUUUCUGCAGCCAUUAACAAACACCAGAAUAAACACCCCGA